GAAAUGCGAUAAGUAAUGUGAAUUGCAGAAUUCCGUGAAUCAUCGAAUCUUUGAACGCACAUUGCGCCCUCUGGCAUCCCGGGGGGCAUGCCUGUCCGAGCGUCAUUACGCACCCUCAAGCCCGGCUUGUGUGAUGGGCCCCGGCGUCUCGUUCGCGAGACGGGCCCGAAAGGCAGCGGCGGCGUCGACCCGAUGAGCCCGAGCGUAUGGGGACUUCUGUCACACGUUCGCGGUGCGGACCGGCGCCUGCUUGACUUUUCUGAUUAUCCAGGUUGACCUCGGAUCAGGUAGGGAUACCCGCUGAACUUAAGC
Molecule: unclassified non-coding RNA, 312 nt
Filed under: plant metagenome
Description: partial contains 5.8S ribosomal RNA, internal transcribed spacer 2, and large subunit ribosomal RNA
Rfam family: 5.8S ribosomal RNA (bases 1-105)
Source: RNAcentral